This 18624-nucleotide long non-coding RNA is filed under the name Xyrichtys novacula (pearly razorfish). Lineage: Eukaryota; Metazoa; Chordata; Actinopteri; Labriformes; Labridae. The record is from RNAcentral.
AAUUGGGACCAUGCACUGACUUGGAAAAUCACCUGGUCAGAACUUUGGAGGUCAGAGCCAGCAAGACUCAAGUUCCUGAUCCAGUCAGUGUAUGAUGUCCUCCUGAGUCCAUCUAACCUGCACUGCUGGGGUCUGGCAGAAACACCAUCAUGUCCACUCUGCCCCGCAAGAGGAACACUGGAGCACAUCCUGAGCUGCUGCCCAAAAGCACUGGGAGAGGGCAGGUACAGGUGGCGCCAUGACCAGGUGCUGAAGGCAGUAGCUGACACCAUCUGUGCUGGGAUCCAGCAAAGCAAGCACCAGCCUCCAGCAAGGCAUAACAUCACAUUCGUUAGGGCUGGGGAGAAACCACAGUCACAGCCAAAGGUCCCAGGUGGUCUUUUAUCCUCAGCGGGAGACUGGCAGUUGAAGGUGGACCUGGGGAGGCAAUUGAAGUUUCCGGAGCACAUCACCAGCACAACACUCAGGCCGGACAUGGUCUUAACAUCAGAGAGUUCGAAGCAGGUAGUGUUACUGGAACUGACAAGUUCAUGGGUUCAUCACUGAAGAUGUGUCCAAGCUGCACCACUAAGGUGUUUGUUAAAACUAAACUAGUAUUCAGUGAGAGGAUUGGUUAAGGAUUCGGACUGUUAAGUAGGAAUCGGUAAGAAUUCAGAACUGUUAAAAUCCAGACAAAUCCCAACCCUAGUCUUAAUCCAUCCGGCUAUCUGCAUGCUAAUUCUGAUAAUUAAAAUUACUUUUUGGUAUGCUAUGAUUUAAAUAGUAGUAGUAAGAUUUAUAUACCUGGCUUGUACUGCUUAUCUUUCUAAAAGAAACUCUGUAAGCGCAUACUCUUAAAAAGGUAUAUGCAAGCAUUCACUGAUAAAGUAUACUUAAACCCAAGGCACAAAUACAUACUAAAGUAGAUCUUAAUUAAAAGUUUAUGUAUAAGUAUAGGUUAAAUAUAUUUACACUUAAAGUAUAUAUAUUAAGUAUUCUUGGCUUGUACUCAGAAUUAUACUCAAAGUAUAUCUCUUAAAGUGCAUAAAAAGUAAACUGAAAGCAUACUUUGUUUGAAAACAGUACAGUUUAAGUAAACUCAAACACACUUCUUUUUUUGGUGAGGGUAUACAAAAAAAAGUUAUUGACUGAAGGAAGAAAAAUCAGCUAUAAAAAAACAAGCAGUUUACACAGUAAACAAUAAGGAAUUUGACACAUUAUUGCAUACUAUUUGAGUUAUUAUAUCUGAGAAAGAUGUACACUACAGGCCAAAAGUUUGGAAGCAAGAUCAGAUUUGUACAAAAAAAGUUCAUAGUUUCAUUAAUAUACUUUGCAACACUAUAAACAUGACUAUUGUGUAAAGAGUAACUUAUCAGAAUACAUUUUGACUAUAAUUAUUAGGUAUUUUAGCUUUUCUUGCUUUGACUUUGCUUUCUUUAAAGUAACCUCCUCUGGCUUUAACAACAGCUCAGCAUAUACCAGGCAUUCGUUCCACAAGUUUUUUAAGGUAUGUUCCAGGGAUUGCAUUCCAAGCUUUCUUAAGUUCAUUAAAAAGAUAGUGCUGAUUCGUGGGAUGCAUUUUUCUGACCGAUCAAUCCAAUUCAUCCCGCACAAGCUCUAUUGAAGAAAGGUCUGGAGACUGAGGGGGCCAAACCAUCUUUUGAAGAAUACCUUCCUCUUCUUUUUUGUCUAGGUAACCCUGACAGAGCUUGGCAGAGUGCUUAAGGUCAUUGUCUUGCUGCAAAACAAACUUAUGAGCCACAAGUCCGAGUCCAGAUGGAACAGCAUGGUGCUGGAGGAUGGAGUGGUACUGUUCCUUUUUCAUGAUACCCUUUACUUCAAACAAAUCUCCUACUCCAUCACCUGCAAAACAUCCCCAUACCAUGGAACUACCACCUCCAUGCUGAAUUGUGGGUGUAACAAUUCAAUUGUAACAAUUGUGGGUGGGUGGUGCUUUCAGACAUUCACCAGUUUGUCUGCGGACUCUGCGUUUUGAACCAAACAGUGCAAACUUGUUUCUAGUCAUCAUAAGUCCAAUUUUUGUGAGCUUUUGCCUACUCAUAUCUCUUUUUCUUGUUCUGUGGACGAAGUAGUGUUUUUUUGCAAAUACACAACCCUUCAGACCAGCCUUUCUCAAACGUCAUUUCACAGUUGUCAGAGAUAUGGGUUUCGACCUUGUCAUGUUGAUUUCCUCCCUUAUUUUUGGUGCUGUCUUUUGCCGAUCUUUCUUACUGGUGACAAUGCUAUGUUUAUCCUCUGCUCUGCCUUUAAUGGCCUUACUUCCAAACUUUUGGCCUGUAGUGUGUGUUUUUAAAGUAAAAAAAAAAAAGGUGCAAGAGUUCAUCUGACUCAAGCAAUGGACACACAGACAGAAAUACCCUCCACGCCUUCGUCACAGGCAGAUAGUAGGCCUGUAUCUAGUCCAACCAAUUGGGAAUUAUGCUGUUUGUGCCAACAAAACAUCAGUGAAAGGCUAACUAAUGCCACAGGCAGUGGUUAUCUGACUUUGGCUAACAAUAUUCCCGAAUUUCACAAAAUGAACUUCAUGCCAGUUCUUUUUGACCCAAAGCGACUUGAUGAUGGUGAUGGAAUUUAAAAGCCCAAAAAAACAAACAAACAUAAACAAACACAAACAAAAAAACUACCCACCUAGGGCCCAGUCAGUACCCACAUGGACAGCCGAAGUGGGAACCAAGUGUAUCCCACGAAAUUCCCAAAUAGCAAGCCCACCUUGAAACAUAUGUGGGUCCUACCUGGGCGUGCUGGUCUGGGUAAUGGUACCUAUGUCACUAAAAUGCAAAUCACUUUAAAUGUGUCAUCAUAAAUUGAUUCUAUCUAUGGAAAUAAAUACAACUAUUGCUGCAUGCUCUUAUGGCUUAACCGUGAACUGCAGUAUAUUUCUGCUAUUUAUUGGCAGCCAUAUUGGAAAUUUGCCACCAUAUUGGAACCUAAUAUCUUAUGUUUAAUUGGAAUAAAUACCUAAAACAUUAUCAUAAAUUAAAAUGAGGGUAUGUGUAAGUUUUAUAGCUGCAGCAAAGUGAUACAGUCCAAAACGUUGACCUGGUGAAAGCCAUUUCUAAAAGCUCGCGGGCAUCAUGAAAAAUGGCGCCGCCCAGGUGGCCAGAGGUUAUAUUAUGAUUAGUAGUGGUAUCAAGGAUAUCUGUACCAAAUUUCAUGCUUGUAUCACCAUUUGCACUAUCGCCUCAAAAAUCAGCAUAUUCCCGCUAGACUAUCUUAUCCAAGUAGCUUCUUCAGUUCUAAAUUCAGCUCCUCACACUAGCAAUAUUUAGAACUGAAGAAGCUUCUUGGAUAAGAGGCGAAACAUCUUCUCAACUCUACACAGUCCAGUUGCCUGUUUUUGGAGUCUUUAGAAAACCAUGACCUGGAUUAAUGAGAAUCUACAUGGACACAUUUUAAUGAACGUAUUCUAAAGAUUCAGUUCAGUCAAAAGAACUGGUCUUCCCAUCACUAGUGGUGAGGAAUAAACAUGGAUCCUGAUCCUAAUAACUCAGUCUUGAAAACCUUACAAAAAACUCAAUCAUUGAUGUAUUUCAGUUGUCCUGCUUUGGCUUCAAAUUGGACAUUCGUGUUUGUUAUGGGGUGUUUGUACUGUCAAAGGUUAAAGGUAUGAAAUAUGUGUAAAUUCAAGAAAAACUAGCACCCUGUUGGGCAAUAACAGGCCCAAGCGGUGUCGCCCUGCCACCUCUUCAGCGCACCGCCACCUCGUCGCACCACCCACCAUCCCCGGUGCGGUGCUCUCCACAACAGCCCAACCUUUGUGUUGGUUGGCACUUGUGACUGCCUUUGAGUAGAGUGGCUCAUUUAGUGUGAAAAGAUGUCAGAGAUUGAAAGGACGCCAUAGUAACGGCCUUAGACAUAAACACGUGAUUUUUUUGAUUUGGUCUCAAGGUCUGACAGACUGGAAGAGAAAUAACAUCAUUCCAGAAAAAUUAAGCAUGCCUUAACUAAAGAAAAAAAAUGUUUUAUUUGUUAAAAGUAUUAUGACAACUGCACUUUUUCAUACAUUUAGAGAGUGACUGUUAGUCCAGCUACAUAAGCAAAGUUGGUCUAAUCUGUUUAUAUGUUUGAGAGUUGACUUAUAAUCACCAACUAAUUUGAGAUACAUGCAACAGAUUCCUACAUCUUACCAACAAAUUUUGUAGAUGUAAUUGUUUGGCUGCAAUUCACAUAAAGUAACAUGACGAGAGGCACAGAAAACAGGAAGUAUAUUUCCUAAAUGCUAAAAUAGACAAAAACUAAAACCAAAAGAGAAAAAGUCACUGUUUUUUUAUAAACAGGUAUUCUAUUCAUAAGAGGUAUAUUUGAUAGUCUUAGCACACACACCAUUGAGGAAGAGGUGUUACAAUCUGUUUGACUUAUAUUUGACAAUAGCUGCCCUUUUUGGAGGCUGUCCUUUUGACAAUACAAUGAAAUAAAAAUUCUUCACAACUCACAUGAUGCAAUAUUUCAAACAGUUGAACAGAUUCUUUGUCAUUGUUGUGCAACAUAAAAAAGUAAGGUUGUAAGUUAAUAGGAUAUUAGAACAUGUGAAUUUAUAAUAAUACCUACAUUGUUGUCCAUGUUCUCUGGCAUUGUAGCAGUGUUUGUCACCCUUUAGUCACCAAUCUGUUCAUUUGUUGUAGUUUCCGGCCUGGAUGAAUUACAAGCCAUUUCAGUUUUACACUUUGAGACCUGCCUUUGCUUUUAUUUCCAAAAAGGAUGAACUAUAAUAAUAAUUCUAUUUGAUCUGUAAGAAGUGCUAAGGUGGCUUAGGAGUGUUCUUGGCUGCCCAGAUAAUUCAACUUGAAUUAGUCCAAACACAAUUAAAAAGCCUUAAAAAUGAGCCCCCUGAAUUCAGACUCAAGCUAUCUGCGUGCAGUGUAUCUUGGCACAUGUAGGCAGUUUGAUAUUUCAUAUUCAGCUAUAUGUGUGUCCUCUCCCUGAAUGUUAGGGGGCCUCGAAAUAAUGAUAAAAGAGCCCAAGUUCUUUCUUGGAUCAGAAAACAACAUGCAAGUAUUAUAAUGCUACAAGAAACAUAUUUUACUAAUGAUCUAAUCGAAAAAGUGAAUAAGGAAUGGAAAGGAAAAGCUGUGCAUAAUAUUGGAACAAACCACAGUAGGGGUGUAAGUAUUCUAUUUGACCCUAAACUGAACAAUACGGAAUUGAAAGAGUUUAAGGAUGAUCUUGGGAGAGAAAUAUGUGUCAAUUGUAAGAUUGCCGACAAAGCAUAUUCAUUUCUUAACAUUUAUGCCCCUAAUGUGUGUGGCGAUAGGAUCAUCUUUUUAAAUGAACCGUCCAGGUGGCUUACUGGUAUUGACAUAUGUAGCGUUCGUACUUGCGUUGUGUGAUUAAUUCUGUAGAGAAACCAGACUUCUGUGUUAGAAUCGAUGUUUAUUCAGUACCUGGUAGAAAAUUAUCAUGGUCAGGUCUCGCAUCAGACAUGCGGUCUCUCUCUAACCAGCGAGCAGCUCAGCACAACUGUGCUAACAAUAUAAAUUCAAACUCUAUACCUGGUAGAAAAUUAUCAUGGUCAGGUCUCACAUCAGACAUGCGGUCUCUCUCUCACUGCAAGUAUAAAAUAACAACAUAAGUACCCUCUUAAAUAAGGAAAUUAAAAGAUAAUUAAAACAAAUAAUCCCGGAGAUCGGACAUGUGGACUUCCCCAGCGAGCAGCUCAGCACAACUGUGCUGCUAGACUGGGGUUCACUCCCCAAAAUCCCCAGGGGUUGAUGCAUUCGAGGGCUGCAGGGAAUCUAAACAUCCUUAAAAGAACCUAACGUAAGGCAUGGCAAGUGAAAUCAUUAAAUAUUAAUUAUAACUACGUUACACUCCCCCCUACUGAUUUCCACUUGCCCAUACAAAAAAACGAAUACUAAGACGCAGAGUGAGACCAGGCCAUAAAAACAUCCAAACAACAAAUAUACAAACAUACCAGGUAGCAAUCACAGUAUAACAAGAGGAGGACCCGAGAAAAGGAAAAAAAAUGUGUACAGUGCCGUCAAAACCACAGAUACCAAGUAUACCAGUCACAAGACCAUUCCUGAAGAAUUAGAAUGGGGAGGGGUUGCAAAGCCUUCCACCACCCAUAGGUAAACACAUGCCCAUAUACAUUUUAAAUCACCCAGAAAUCAUGUCAUAAAAAAAACAGCACAAUUUGUAACCCCCAGGACAUAUUCACGCUAGCAGUCCAACACAGGUAUCAACCAUCAUAGAAAAAAAAGACAUAAAUGACUCAAAUCCUCCCCAAAGUGACAUAAAGAUACCAACCAUACAUAAACAUUUUAAAGAGCAGUACACAAAAAAAAAAAAAAAAAAACUAGCGACCAGCAAGAACCCUCUGGUGCAUAUUCUGAAUAAGUCUGACUACUGGCCUCACUACCCUCCCAUACCUUGUCCGCCUUCUCUGCAAACCGUCAGGGGAAGGGUUUGGUCCUGCCUCCGAUGCAACAACUGAACCAGCAUCAGAAGGCAGCAAGUCAACAGGAAGAGUAGGGACAGCAGGUCGAGAGUCGGGCAAGUCAACAGGACAGUCAGUAUCAACAACAGGGUCCGAAGGGUCAGACUGGUUCAGUUCUACAGAACCAUUCUCGUUUUGCCUGUCAGGUCCACUCUCCAUAUGACUGGCAGGGAUAAUCUCAUCAGGUGCGUCAGAUCCGGCACAGUCAUUCAUAUCCACAUCAGCCAUAGUUGUCGACUCUGAGAUGGGAGCUGGUUCAACCGCACUCAACAGUCAGAGUGCGGUUGAACCUUUCGACUGCUCCAUUGCCCAUGGGGUUGUAAGGUGUCGUGUGAGAUUUUUCAACACCGGCAACUUGGAGCAUCUCUGCAAUCAGACUGCUUUCGAAAUUUGCACCCUGAUCGGAAUGCACUCGCUCUGGGAAGCCAUAGAUACAGAAAAAGUUGUUCCAGAGUUGAUGAGCGACAGCUUUGGCUGACUGAUUGGGACAAAGGUAGGCUUGAGACAGUUUAGUGAAAUGGUCUGUCACGACCAGCACAUCCAAAGACUUGUUGGAGGAAUCUUCAGCCGACCAAAAAUCAAUGCAUACCAACUCAAGAGGUCUAGAGGUCUUAACACUCUCGAGUGGUGCUCUGGCCUAGGGUUCAGGAGUCUUACUGACCAGACAGCGCCGACAACACUGCACAUAAUCUUUCACAUCUUUCUCCAUCCCAACCCUUGUCUAGCCAAGUAAAGUGUCCGUCUCUGACCUUGGUGACCCGCCUCAUCAUGAAUACCCUUCAGGACUAACCCUAACCCAAGCAUGGAUCAGUACGCUGCUGUGACAUGAGCUUGGCCUUGGGCAGGGGCCGAUAAUCAGACAGCUCGGAUGGCAGGAGGGACUGAGUGAGCUGAGGCAAGCAAAGUGCAUGAGAGGGAAACUGGUCUUCAACCAGUGAAUGUUCCAAGACAGCCGACACUAUUUCUGAGGAGAUAGGUGGAUGCUGGGGCACAGCUGUUGCACUGUUGAAGGCCACAGGCAGAGGGUGAUGCAGCAGGCGGCUGAGAGGAUCACAGGACAGCCUAAAAGCAUCCUGCACACAGUCAGGAUCAAGGGCAUUCGCUUCCUCCAGGAGUGCACCGUAGGGGACUGUCGUGAGCCGGUGGAGAACACUGGGGUGCACAAAGGGCUCAUGGCUGAGGGCGUCUGCCACCACAUUUCUCGGACCAGGGAUGUAUCUGAUGUCAAAGUCGUAGGGGGCCAGUUUCGACACCCAUCUCUGCUCACAGGCAUCUAGUUUGGGCUUACUGAGAAUGUAAGUGAGCGGGUUAUUGUCGGUCCAGACAGUAAACCGAUUACCUCUCAACCAGUGGCUGAAUUUGUCGCACACAGUCCACUUGAGUGCGAGAAAUUCGAGUCUGUGUGCCGGGUAGCGAGACUGGGCAUAAUUGGGGCUCGAUGGUUACUGCACGUUUGAGCUUAACAGUACCCACCUUGUCAGGACACUUACCUCCCUUCCAUGUCUCAACAGCAGCCAAGAACUGCAGCAGACUUCUCCCCUCCUCAGGAAGCUGAUCUGAGAGAGACACCUUCUCCUCACCAGAGUGCUUCAGCACCCGAAUGAGGUGUUUUAUGACAUUGCUGCCAAGAAUGAGAUCAUCACUUUUACCCUCCACUAUGAGUGUCGGAACUGAAAAGCAACAGUCAAACACUUUCAUCUUCAGCUCACACGCACCAGCAGGUCUGGUUGUUAAACCACCGCAUCCAAUGAGCACAACCGAUGUGGGAGAAAUGGAGUCAGGGGAAAUGACAUUGUUCUCUAUCAUGAGGUUGAGCACAUGAGAACUCAGGGAGCAGGCCAUUGAACCACUGUCAAGCAUGGCAUUGAGUGUCAUAGUAUCUUGAAUGAGCGCUUUCGUGCGGAAAAGGUUAUCAGUUGCAGACAGUCUUUGUGUAUUUUGAAUGACCACAGUGGAGCCUGCACUUGUCAAGGAGCAGAACUGAGAGUACACUGAUUCAAGGUCAACAUCAUCAGAUUCUUGUGGGGAAUUGCUCUCCGGCCCUACAUUACUCCCCUGCUCAUGCGGGCCAGCUAGUUUUUUCUGCUGGGUGGCACCAUCAGGUUUAGCAGCAGAUGAGUCAGGAGGAGGAGCGACAUGGCAGGAUACAGCUUGGUGGCCUGUGGAAAAACAGCGGAAACACAGACGCUCCCUCCUGCAGUGAGACACAGUGUCAUGAUUGUCAUUCCUACAUACAGCACAGGGGCCCGGAGACUUGUUGCGGCUACAAGUACCUGAUGACCUUGGAGGUCUGGAAUGUUGGAAAGUCUCUCGCUGCAGUAACCGCUCAAGGAGAGUGAUGACGUGUUCAAGUGACUGCCCUUCAGCAUGUGACACUCCACUGGUUGUAACUGGUUGAGGGGCAGGAGCGCUCCCAGCAGACUGAGCAUGGCACUGUACAACACUCACAGGUUGGUCGGGUUGCUGGUUCCUAGCCGGACAUGAAGACUGACGUUGCUGGAGGCGCCUUUUCCUGUGGUGUUCAUCCAACCGCACCUGGACAUCAGCGGCAGUCCACUCCUCUAGCGGUUUGCAGCUGAAGACUAGAGACAACUCAGUGUCAGGACAGUGAGUGAUAAACACAUACAUGACAUAAUUAAAGGUGGGGAUUGGAAUACUGUCUUGAAUUUGGAGAUGGAUAAAAGCCCCCCUAUAACCCACUCACCAGUGUAUUAUCGUAAAGCAGCUGAGGUAAUUGGUAAUUUGUGUAAAAACUUCCAACUAUAUGAUGUAUGGAGAGAGAAAUAUCCAGGGCUAAAGCAGUUUACAUGGAGAUGUAAGAAUCCAGAAACAGCUUGUAGAUUGGAUUUCUUUCUAAUUCAUCAAGACUUAGAACAGAAUGUGGUAAAUGCAGAAAUUAAAGCUGCUUUAAGAACAGAUCACCAGGCUAUUAUGUUGACAAUAACAUUGGACCACUCAAUUCGAGGCCCAGGUAUUUGGCACUUUAACAACAGCCUCUGUGAAGACAAAAUGUAUAGUAACACUCUGAUCACAAUUAUUGAAGAAUGCCAAAAUUAUUUCAGUGAUCAAGAUCAUAGAACAUUUUGGGAUCUGUGUAAAUUCAGGAUCAAGGAAAAAAACUACAAAAUAUUGUCAGAAUAAAGCUAGAAUUAGAGCUGAACGCUUGACUACCUUAGAAAAUAGUCUCCGUGACUUAGAAAGAAAAGUAGAUCAUGAACCAAAUAGGGAAAACAUGGAAAAAUACGAUGAAGAACAAAAACAGCUAGACCAAUUAUAUGCAUAUUACACUGAAGGGGCAAAGAUUCGUUCAAAAGUGAAACACUAUGUUUACGGAGAAAAAUCCACUAAGUACUCCCUCAAUUUGGAGAAAUCAAACAACAAAAAACAUACUAUAAGUAGCCUGAGAGUUGGUGGUGAAGUAUUCUGCCACACUGCUGACAUCCUCUGUGAAGCUAGGAAGUUCUAUCAGCAGCUCUAUAAAACACGUGAGGUAAAUCCCGAAAAGGUAGACUGUUUUUUGAGAAAUAUAAACAUAGACCAUACUGUAUCUGAGGAAGCAAAACAGCUACUAGAUGAACGACUGGUGGAUAAAGAGUUUUCGGAUGCUGUAAAGAAUCUGAAGACUGGCAAAACACCAGGUACUGAUGGAACUGCAUCAGAAUUCUAUCAGUGCUAUUGGGAUAUUGUAGGAGUGUUUGUUAUUAAUUCAAUCAGGGAAGGUCUUGCACAUGAACAGAUGGCAGACUCCCAUAAAAGAGCCAUUUUAAAAUUACUUUAUAAAAAAGGAGACAACCAACUAUUAGAUAACUGGAGACCUACAAGUCUUUUAAACACAGAUUAUAAAAUACUUGCCCAUGUGCUAGCCAAUAGGUUAAAACCACUGUUACUAUACCUAAUCAAUGAGAAUCAAACUGCCUAUGUAAAAGGCAGAUUCAUUGGACAAAACGUACGCCUUAUUACAGAUGCUAUUGACUAUAUAGAUGAAAUGCAAAUUCUGUCAUGAUCUGUGCUGUGAAAUCACUUCCUGUUUUAUUUUGAAGAUCCUGUUUUUCCUGUGUUGCUGUUACCUUUACUUCUGGUCUUUGUUCCUUUUCCCGCCUUAGUUAAUUACCCCAUUGGCUUCACCUGUGUUUUGUCCCCUUCUCUAUUUAACCCCUCCUCACUAGCUCUUCCCUGCCAGAUUGUCUUUGUCACUUUAGUACAGGCUCUCUCGCGUUUUGAUAUAUCUCUGCUUCCCGUGUAUGACCUGUUUUGAUCGUCCUGGAUUUUUGAUUCUUGCCUGUCCCACUGGUUUUUGUCGCCUGAUUAUUUGCUGCUCUGAUUUUGACCCUGCCGGGUUUUCUUUUGGUUGGAAUAAAAGAGUUUGCCCUUUGGAAACUGAACAAUUGCCUCACGUCCACUGCUUUUGGGUCCACACACUCUCGGCGCUUUACAGUACAAUCUGGCCAUGAUGGACCCAGCAGGUGAGGACUUUUGCCAUGCUCUGGGGGCACAGGGAAGACGUCUAACCGAGUUGGAGAGGGCCAUCUCCAGCCUGGGCCCUGGAGUUCAGUCGUUGUCUGCCCAGCUGCAAGCCUUGGCUACUCAGACUAACCAGCUGAUGGUUCGCCUGGAUACACUGCAAACUGUCGCUUCGAGCCCCGACAUCUCCUCUUCACCUUCAGUUCCCUCUGCUUCCCUGGGUCACCAUUCUGAGCCGAGUGCUCCGCCUAUUGAGAGGUAUGACGGAACUCCUGAGACUUGUCGCUCAUUUUUGACUCUCUGCUCGCUAACCUUCGAGCUUCAGCCCAUCACCUUCUGCACUGAACGCUCUAAAGUGGCUUUCAUGAUCACAAAUCUCACCGGGCGGGCGAGAGAGUGGGCCACUGCUGAGUGGCAGAGGGGUUCAUCCGUUUGUGCCUCUGUGGAUGCCUUUUCUGCUGCUUUGGCCCGUGUGUUUGGUCAACCUGUUUCGGGCCGGGAGGCAGCCUGUGCACUGGGUCGGCUCAGGCAAGGCAGUAGCUGUGUUUUUGAUCAUGCCAUCCGGUUCCGCACUCUGGCGGCUGAGAGUCGCUGGAACGAUGAGGCCCUUGCUGACACUUUCUUUUGAGUCUUUCUGAGGAUUUAAAAGAUAGACUGACCAUGGUUGAUCUCCCUACCAGUUUCGAAGCUCUCGUGGAACUAGCUAUCAAGGUUGACAACCGGCGACAUGAACGGGAGCAGCUCCGGCCAACGGGCCAUGUGGAUCGGCUGAAUCGGGGAGAGCAUGGCUCUGCAACGGCCUUGGGAAUUACACCGUCUAGCCCCCCAAUGGAACCCAUACAGCUUGGUCGGACUCGCCUAAGUCUAGAGGAGCGACGUCGCCGCCAGCGUGAGGGACUCUGUCUCUACUGUGGGGGAACCAGAGGCCUACUGGUGAGUCACUCCGCAAGCGCCUCUGCACCUAAACGCGCCUUGACCCCAGUUCAGCUCAUCACUUCUUCCACGAAUGUCCUGGAUCUAUCAGCUCUCAUCGAUUCCGGCGCUGAUGAAAGUUUUAUGGACCGGGACCUGGCCUGACAGCUGGACCUGCAGCUCAAGCCUCUCCCUGAAGCGCACCAUGCCCGCGCCCUCGAUGGCCACCUGCUUGGACAGGUUACUGAACAGACUCCUCUCCUGUCUCUGCAGAUGUCAGGUAACCACAAAGAGACUAUUUCUUUCCUGAUUAUUGAUUCCCCCCACUACCCUCUUAUCCUGGGUUACUCCUGGUUGUGUAGACAUAACCCCCUGAUGGACUGGGCUACAGGCAGGGUGUUAGGAUGGAGCCUAGCCUGCCAGUCAGCCUGCCUGCUCUCUCUGCCUGUUCCCCAUAGGUCUGCUGAUUCUUCUUUUGAGUUCCCAGAUUUGUCCAUGGUGCCAAGGGUCUACCUGGACAUAAAGGAGGUUUUCUCCAAAGGCCGGGCCGCAUCCUUACCUCCACACCGCCCGUAUGAUCGUGCUAUUGAGUUGCUUCCUGGAACAAUGCCACCCAAGGGCCGUCUGUACUCUAUAUCCGCGCCUGAGCGGAAGGCCAUGGAUAAAUACAUCCAGGAGGGGCUAGCGGCAGGGAUCAUCCGUCCUUCUUCCUCCCCUGCUGGAGCUGGGUUCUUCUUCGUGGACAAGAAAGAUAAGACCCUUCGUCCAUGUAUUGAUUACCAGGGACUGAAUGAUAUCACGGUGAAGAACCGCUACCCAUUGCCACUCCUCUCAUCGGCGUUUGAACUGCUUUAAGGGGCUCGUGUCUUCACCAAACUCGACCUGUGCAACGCCUACCAUCUAGUUCGGAUUCGUGAAGGAGACGAGUGGAAGACGGCUUUCAACACCCCCAGUGGCCACUAUGAGUACCUGGUAAUGCCUUUUGGACUUACUAGUGCUCCUGCUGUAUUUCAGUCGCUGAUUAACAACGUUCUCAGAGAGAUGCUGAAUGUUUACGUUUUUGUCUAUCUCGACGACAUCCUGGUCUUUUCCCAGACUGAAGAGGAGCAUGUGGGUCACGUCCGUCAGGUGCUGCAGCGGCUUUAUCAUCAUCAGUUAUUUGUAAAAGCUGAGAAAUGUGAGUUUCACCGGACAACGGUGUCUUUUCUGGGACUUGUGAUUUCACCAGGUCAGAUCAAGAUGGACCCUGAAAAGGUCAAGGCCGUUAUGGAUUGGCCUGUUCCCACCGAUCGGAAACAGCUCCAACGUUUUCUGGGUUUCGCCAAUUUCUACCGCAGGUUCAUCCGUAACUACAGCCACAUAGCAGCCCCUCUGCAUGCUCUCACCUCCUCAAACUCGAGAUUUGCCUGGUCCUCUGAGGCAGAGUCAGCCUUCCGAACCCUCCUGUCCAGGUUCUCCUUGUCCCCCAUCCUGCAGAUGCCCGACCCCAAGCUCCAGUUCAUUGUCGAGGUGGAUGCGUCCGACGUUGGGGUAGGAGCGGUUCUCUCCCAACGUUCUGCGGGUGACGGAAAGGUUCAUCCGUGCGCCUUCUUCUCCCGGAAGCUGUCUCAAGCCGAGCGCAACUACGAUGUGGGGAACCGGGAGCUGCUGGCCGUGAAGCUGGCACUGGAGGAGUGGAGGCACUGGUUGGAGGGGGCAGAGCAACCCUUCCUAGUCUGGACGGACCACAAAAACCUGGAGUACAUCCGUGGAGCCAAAAGACUAAACUCCAGACAGGCUAGGUGGGCCCUGUUCUUCACCAGGUUUGAUUUCACCCUGUCUUAUCGCCCUGGGUCCCGAAACGUCAAGCCGGAUGCCCUGUCCAGGCAGUUUGAGGCAGGAAACCGCCCCCAGGAUGCAGCUCCUAUCCUGCCCUCCGACUGUGUGAUCGGGGCGGUGACCUGGGACAUCGAGAGGGAGGUCCAGCAAGCACUUUUGACGGCCAGGAUUCCUGUGGGAUGCCCUCCUGGCCGGCUUUUUGUCCCAGGCCCGCUCCGCUACCGAGUCCUGCAGUGGGGGCACUCCUCUCUAUUAAGCUGUCAUCCUUCUCCAAGAUGGCCCAUUUUGUCGCCCUGCCUAAGUUGCCUUCCGCCAAGGAGACAGCGAAGGCAGUUUUAUUUAAUGUGUUUCGUCUCCAUGGUCUUCCUCAGGACAUUGUGUCUGAUCGGGGUCCCCAGUUCGCCUCACGCUCCUGGAAGGAGUUCUGCCGGCUGCUCGGAGCGUCGGUCAGCCUCUCCUCCGGUUUCCACCCCCAAACGAAUGGCCAGACGGAGAGGUACAAUCAAGAGAUGGAGACAGCUCUCCGCUGCAUCACCUCCCGGAGUCCAACCAACUGGCCGCAGCAGCUCCUCUAGGUGGAGUAUGCCCACAACUCCCUCCCUGUGGCUUCUACUGGCCUGUCCCCGUUCCAGUGUGUCUACGGGUACCAGCCCCCUCUUUUCCAGGACCUCGAGGGGGAGGUCACAGUUCCAUCAGCCCACGCCUUGGUCCGCCGAUGUCACCUCACCUGGAGGAGAGCCCGUGCAGCCCUUCUCCGCACCAACAUUGGGUACCAGAGGUCCGCCAACCGCCGUCGCUCCCAAGCCCCUCGCUACCACGUUGGUCAAGAGGUUUGGCUUUCCACCCGUGACCUGCCGGUUCGGGGGGAGUGUCGCAAGCUGGCUCCAAGGUUCGUGGGGCCCUUUCCCAUCUCAGAAGUCAUCAACCCUGCUGCCGUUCGCCUUCGCCUUCCUCGGACCAUGAGGGUCCACCCCACCUUCCAUGUGUCACGGAUCAAACCCGUCAGGACAAGUCGUCUGCUCCCACCCUCCGACCCGCCUCCACCACCCAGGGUAAUUGAUGGAGGCCCAGUUUACACGGUGAAUCGCCUGCUGGCUGUCCGUCGUAGGGGCAGGGGCCGCCAGUACCUCGUCGAUUGGGAGGGGUACGGGCCCGAGGAGAGGUCCUGGGUCCCUGCAAAGGACAUUCUGGACAAAACGUUAAUCAGAGACUUUCAGAGACUGAAUCCAGAUGUUCCGGGGUAGUCUAGAGACGCCCCUUGAGGGGGGAGGUACUGUCAUGAUCUGUGCUGUGAAAUCCACUUCCUGUUUUAUUUUGAAGAUCCUGUUUUUCCUGUGUUGCUGUUACCUUUACUUCCGGUCUUUGUUCCUUUUCCCGCCUUAGUUAAUUACCCCAUUGGCUUCACCUGUGUUUUGUCCCCUUCUCUAUUUAACCCCUCCUCACUAGCUCUUCCCUGCCAGAUUGUCUUUGUCACUUUAGUACAAGCUCUCUCGCGUUUUGAUAUAUCUCUGCUUCCCGUGUAUGACCUGUUUUGAUCGUCCUGGAUUUUUGAUUCUUGCCUGUCCCACUGGUUUUUGUCGCAUAUCUCUGCUUCCCGUGUAUGACCUGUUUUGAUCGUCCUGGAUUUUUGAUUCUUGCCUGUCCCACUGGUUUUUGUCGCCUGAUUAUUUGCUGCUCUGAUUUUGACCCUGCCGGGUUUUCUUUUGGUUGGAAUAAAAGAGUUUGCCCUUUGGAAACUGAACAAUUGCCUCACGUCCACUGCUUUUGGGUCCACACACUCUCGGCGCUUUACAAAUUCCUGGUAUAGUUCUCUUUCUAGACUUUAAAAAGGCAUUUGAUAGUGUAGAGUGGAUCUUUUUAUUUAAAGCACUAAAGAGAUUCAACUUUGGGAGUUUGUUUCUAAGAUGGAUUCAAACUAUUCAUACAAACUGUAGUGCAGUAGUCAACAAUGGAGAAUUCUUUGACCUUAGUCGGGGAAUUAGGCAAGGUUGCCCUUUGUCCGCAAUCUUGUUUCUUUUUGCCAUGGAAAUUCUAGCACUGUAUAUUAAUCAAAAUGCAAACAUCAAAGGUAUCAAUUUGUCAGAUGGAAGUGCUACCCAUGAGGUUAAAACUUCACAAGUAGCAGAUGAUACUACUCUACUGCUUGGUGGCGAAAGGUCACUAACUACAGCACUAGAAAUGAUAUCAUCUUUUGGCAAAGUUGCAGGCCCUGAAUUGAACUUACAGAAAACCGAAGCAAUUUGGGUUGGUUGCUGGAAAUUUAGGCGAAAAGAAAUCAGUGGAAUAAGGUGGCCAACUGGUCCUGUAAAAUCACUUGGUGUACAUUUUGGUUACAACUGUGGUGAGACGCCUCCUUCUCUUGUUUUAUUUUGGCUGGACUUCCUGUGUUUCCUUGUUUGCCUGGUCUGGCUUCACUCUCUUCCAGAGCUUCCGCCCCUCCCCCGGUCCCUGAGGCUGAGUGAGACUACACACCUGCUCCACAUCUCCAAUCAAAGCACUUUAAGAAGCCUGCAGCCCUCAGCCUCAGCGCCGAAUUGGAUGAUCUGUCCCCGGCUAAAGCUGUCCCCGAAAAUGUCCCCGAUUUAAGCGUUUGAUGAAUGAGAACAAAAAUUUUGCAUGUAUGCUAGAACAACAGUUGUUACAGUAGGUAGGAAGCACAAGUAAACAGUCAUGAACAACAGUAUUUACGGGGUUAUUAAAAGGGGCAUGCGCUGCUACUAAAUAGUACCGAGAUGUUGUCUGUGAUCACGCAGCCCAUGCCCAUUCAUUUCCAAGAUGAAUUCAUUCAUGUAUUCAUUCCUAUCGUGUUUACAUGUUUUGUGUGAUAUGUCGGCCAUAUGAGCCUUUCAUAAAGGUGGUCAUCCGGAGAAGUAAGUGGGUCCGUGCGGUCCCUGAAAACUCUCGCGCGCCGGAGUGCUCCUCGGACAAUGCGAGCACCGAGGUCUACAGGAUCCUCCAAGAACGGACAAGCCGUUUUUCGAGAGAGCUCAUUGGUCAGUGGGCAGGGUUUUUAUGCUCCGUGAGUUCAAUCUGGAACUUAGCCUGCCCCGGAGCAGGUAAGCCGUUCAGCGUAUGUUGCCAUGGAGACUCGCCUCGCUAAGAAGUGAACCCGCGUCGUAGAACAGGAAACCCCGAACUUAUCCUCGAAGUUACCUCGCUAAGCAGUAAUCCUGCUUCGUAGAACAGGCCCCUGGCCUUCCUCGUUGUAUGAGUAUCAAUAACUUUGCUCCUUGUGAUUCUUUGCAUGUUCACUUACUUCCUUCUCCUCUGGUUUUUCCUGCAGUGUCUCCAGCCUACACGACAGCCAGCCAACCAGCCCUCCGGACUUCCUCUGUUUGCAUUUCAAUCCUGAGUUUGGACAUUAAAAUUACACCUUUAGUUGAUCUCUGUCUCAGUGCCUGCUUCUGGGUCCUCGCAGCUCACCAGCCACACCACAACAACAAACUUUCAUGUGAGACGAACCUAUGGAAUGAGAAAAUCAAUAAUAUAGAACAUGUUUUAAAUCUAUGGAGACAAAGGAAUCUCACAUUAUAUGGCAAAGUAACUAUUCUGAAAUCAUUGAUUGCAGCUAAAAUUAUGUACUGGGCUACUGUGUGUGAUGUGCCAAAUAAUGUGACUGUCAGGCUGAAUACUUUGUUUUUUGACUUUCUUUGGUCUGGAAAGAGAGAUAAAAUCAAAAGAUCUGUUAUUUUAGGAGAUUAUAAUACAAGGGGUAUAAAAAUGUUAGAUAUUCAAUCUCAUAUAGAAGCACUUCAUGCUGGCUGGGUGAAGCGCAUCAUGGAUACAUCAUCAGGAGAUUGGAAACUGCUACCCAAAUUGUAUUUAAAUAGACUAGGUAAAGAUUUCCUUAUCUUAAGAAUGCACUUUAAAGAAAAAAAACACUGUCCAGAUCUGACAGGAAUUCCCACUUUUUUAUCAAGGCAUUAUUCAAAGCUGGCACAAAGCAGGAGGUGGUUUUGUGAAGGAACCAUGUACAGCAGAUGAAGUCGGAAACCAUAUCAUCUGGGGAUCUGCCUUUUAAACAGAUUCUAGAGGGAAGUCCCUUUUCUACAAACAUUGGAUUGACUCAGGCAUAAUUUAUCUUGAAAGAUCUAUCUGUAAAGGAAAAACCAAAGCUUCAAAACUGGAUAAGAGAAAUUAGCGAAUUAUUCAUCAUCAGAAAGGAAAUUCCCAAAAAUGGCUCCCAUUUCUGAGCAACAGUAUAACAUUAAGAGAUGACAACACUGAUGCACACAUUGCUCCGACAGGCUAUACUUGCGAGAUAAUCUAUAAGCUGUUGUUAAAAGAAAAAAUAAAGACAUCAUAUAUGCAGACAUAUUGGUAUGCUGCACUAGCCGACCAAACAAACAACAUCAUGUGGAGCAAUGUGUGACAGAGACAAACAAUAAAAUUAUCUCCAGAUAGGAAAUUGGCCGAAUACAAUUUCAAAAUAUUACAUGGAAUUCUUCCAAAUAUGUCAAACCUGUAUAAAUGGAAGCUGGUCCCCACUCCUCUAUGUGCUUUUUGUUUGGUAAAAGAAGAUACAGAACAUAUGUUUGUUUCAUGUCGUUGUCUGGGUGGCUUUUGGAACCAGGUUUCCGCACUUAUGUCUCAGUUUAAUAUCACCUUUAGAGUAGAACUGUGCACAUCAGCAAGUAACAGAUAUUUUACAAAUCUGACUCUAACAAUAGCAAAACCGUCCAUCUUUAAAAUCUGGAUGAGAUAUAAAGAUGAUCAACAAAGGUUUUCUACAGCAGACAGGGUAUCUGUCUUUCUUUCGGAGCUGAGGUCCUUGGACCUUUUGGUGGAUGAGUCUAGAGGUAACGAAGCCUGGGCAAACUUAUUGUGGUUGUUGGACAGAACAUAAAGAAAAGGCUACCCAUAUUCUCUUUUUUUCUCUCUUUCCUCUGUAUGUAUACACUCCAUCUAUUUGUAUAUACAUGAUGUGUGAGGGUUUUUUUUGCAUCCUUUUUAUACGCUGUUUUGUUAUGUGACUCUCCUAAAUAAAUUUUUUUUUU